UAUAUAUAUAUAUAUAUAUACGAAAAUCCCGCAUAAAGUCAACACGAGGCCUGAUAUUCACCAGCAGAAAGUCGACACGGGAUAAGGUCAACACAUUCGUGUCGACUUUGUACGUUGCACUUUUUUAAAUGGCUAUAACUUUUAGAUUACUCUAUGAAUGGCCAUUUCAUUAUCAUUCUAUAAAAAUUCAAUGUUUCUAGGACUAUUUAAACAUAAAUUUAGUGGAUAAAGGUCUUGUUUUAACGAGUAUCGAUCAUUUAUAAAGAGGACCCUUUUUCAAAGUAUAUAUAUCCACCUGAGAAUCUCAGAUACAAAGUCGACACACCGGUUUUUUGGCUUUAUCUUUUUAAAAGUAGGUAUAUAUAGAAAAACGAAAGAGUGCAUGAGGUUACGGAUUGUUUCAUUUAAAAGUUCUGAUCUUAUCUCCGGGAUUUCUGCAGAAGAUAUUUAGUUAUCGAUGAUUUUCUAUCGCCGAGGCUACAAAAAUCGGCAAUCUGAACAAUAUAUAUACUUUGUGACGUCAGUCACUCAUUUCGGAGAGAAAAUAAUGGCGGACAGUGUUCGCUUCGAAUGAAAUUAUCUGUAUUUCUUUGGUUUUGUGGAGCAUUUAGGAUUAUUUAAACACAACAAUAUAAUGGAUGUACAGGCCAUCGUUGCAGUUCCCUUCCUUGAAGACUCUGUGGUGAUUGAUUGAAGUAUAUGAUCAGUCUUGACAAUCAAAACCAUGCUGAUCUUGUACUACUUUCUGUUGCUACUUUUAAUCAUCAUCUUAUCCACAAGAACGUUUUUUGUUAAACUGUUAUUUUAAUAAAAAAUAAAAAUCUGAUGAUCAA
Ostrea edulis (European flat oyster) is the source of this 833-nucleotide long non-coding RNA. RefSeq lists it as uncharacterized. The transcript has 2 exons. The record is from RefSeq and is a predicted model, not a curated record. Lineage: Eukaryota; Metazoa; Mollusca; Bivalvia; Ostreida; Ostreidae.